AUUAUGAUGAGGGAAGAGCCAAGUGCGAUGGGAGCACAAGAGGGUCACCUGAGCCAGUGGUGGAAGUCAGGGAAAGCUUCCUCAAGGAAAACAUUUUGACUUAAAGCAGUUGCUUACAAGUUGGCCAAAGGGGUUCGGGGAGAAGGGUCUUUCAGGCAAAAAAAUAGCAAAAAAGAAUGCAGCUGAGGAGGACUUCCCUGGUGGUCCAGUGGUUAAGACUCUCUUCCAAUGCAGGGGAUGUGGAUUUGAUCCCUGGUUGGGGAACUAAGAUUCCCCAUGCCCUGGGGCAACUAAUUCUUUGCAUGGCAAUGAAGACCCAGGGUAGCCCAAAAAAAAAAAAAAAAACCAAGAAUGGGGCUGGUAUGUGUGUGUGUGUUUACAGGUAAGAUGGGGAGCUGUAAUGAGUAACGGGGGUGGGAAGACCAGAUCAUAACGGAUGGUAUAAGAAUGACUGGAUGCCUGUCUUCCCAGGGUACUUAGUAACAGCACCCCCUUCCAUGCUGUCCUGGUUUGGAUAAUUGAGUAAGCUAUCACAUGCUAUCCUACUUGUAAGACAUACUAAGGAAUGUGAACUUCAUUCUAGGAGCAGAGAAGAACCCCUGAAAGUUGGAAGAGGGACCUGACAGGAUCAGAUCCAGACAGAUAAAAUAGACUGGCAGUAUGUGAAGAAUGGAUUGGGUGGAGCUAAGUGUGGAGGAAGGUCAGUUAUGGAGCCAUGCAGUUGUCCAAGGGAGAGAUGAGGGUGGCCAGGGCGAGAGAAGUGUUGGUAGAGAGAAGACCAAUUUGUACUUUUGGGCAGCAAAAUGCAACAGAACCUGGUGGAUGCUGGUACCGUGGAGGAUGGGGCUGCCUGUGGAGAGGUUGUGGUCAUCAAUAUAUUUUUGCCCAAAUGCCUUUUCCAGAUAGUUAUGAGGCAGUGGGGCUGCAAACCGGGCCAGCCUUAAGUAUCCUGGAUAUUUGAAUCCAAAGGAUAAGGAAAAGUGGGAGGAGGAUAUGUAACGGGAGGAAAGCUAGGGAACAGUGAAGAAAGGUAAAAAGAGUUUUAAAUGCACAAGGUAAAAACCUGGAUUAUAGGUUAUCUAAAAGAGAACAAUAAAUGGAAGCCAACAUAGAAGGCUGUACAGGAAAGAAAGGUGGAUAUUUUUAAAAUUACAGUUUACAACAGCAUGUGACCAUUAGGGAGACGUGUGUAAAAAGCCUUCACCCAUAAUCUGCUGCUCCAUGACAGGGAUGAUGAUUUUGGUGUAUUUGGGAGGUAGGCAUGAGUGAGGCAAGAGCGGAAACAGCA
Molecule: long non-coding RNA, 1288 nt
Organism: Bos taurus (domestic cattle)
Lineage: Eukaryota; Metazoa; Chordata; Mammalia; Artiodactyla; Bovidae
Source: Ensembl